GAUGAACGCUGGCGGCGUGCAUAACACAUUCAAGUCGAACGGAGUUAUUGAUUUGGAUCCCUUCGGGGUGAAGAAGCUUAACUAGUGGCGGACGGGUGAGUAACGCGUGAGCAACCUGCCUUUGUGAGGGGGGAUAACGUCGGGAAACUGACGCUAAUACCGCAUGAUGGUAUGAGGAACGCAUGUUUUUCAUACCAAAGAUUUAUCGCACAAAGAUGGGCUCGCGUCUGAUUAGGUAGUUGGUAAGGUAACGGCUUACCAAGCCUACGAUCAGUAGCCGGACUGAGAGGUUGAACGGCCACAUUGGAACUGAGAUACGGUCCAGACUCCUACGGGAGGCAGCAGUGGGGAAUAUUGGGCAAUGGGCGCAAGCCUGACCCAGCGACGCCGCGUGAGGGAAGAAGGUCUUCGGAUUGUAAACCUUUGUUGACAGGGACGAUAAUGACGGUACCUGUCGAGGAAGCCACGGCUAACUACGUG
This 480-nucleotide ribosomal RNA is filed under the name uncultured bacterium. Its description in RNAcentral is "bacterial SSU rRNA". It matches the Rfam family "Bacterial small subunit ribosomal RNA", at positions 28 to 507 of the family's 1533-position model. The record is from RNAcentral.